This 283-nucleotide unclassified non-coding RNA is filed under the name Hevea brasiliensis (rubber tree). The record is from RNAcentral. Lineage: Eukaryota; Viridiplantae; Streptophyta; Magnoliopsida; Malpighiales; Euphorbiaceae.
GAACAAUGAACUGUUAUAGGACUAUCUUUUGGCUCUUUAUGGAAUUCUUCUUUUGUUACCAAAUGGAAUGUGAUUCAGUUUAUUGAUUUGGUAGGACUCCAUGCAUUCUAUGGUGGGAUUUUCCAUUCUUAAUAUAAAAUCCAUAGUUUCUAAAAUAAAAUUCAUGUUGCUGUGUUUAUUCCAUAUAAAAGAAUGUCAUACAUUUUAUCCAUUCAGGAAGAAUAUUUGUGAGGUCUAUUUCUGUCGGUGUGCUUGUAUUCAUAUGCAUAUGCACACAUGCACG